Long non-coding RNA from Galeopterus variegatus (Sunda flying lemur), 352 nucleotides. RefSeq lists it as uncharacterized. The record is from RefSeq and is a predicted model, not a curated record. The transcript has 2 exons. NCBI's taxonomy places the organism in Eukaryota, Metazoa, Chordata, Mammalia, Dermoptera, Cynocephalidae.
UUAAAUGCCCAGACACGAAGGGCUCCCGGCAGGGAGUGGAUCGAAUCUUCUAAGCUGGCAGAGCACCGAGUCCUCCACCUGCCCAGGCUCAUACAACCGUCCCUGCAGUCGUGUGGGCUGGCUGCUCUUCUAUCCCCUUUCCCAGAUGGUGGAACCGCAGCUGGAGGGGUUGGCCCUCGCCCCAUACCAUGUCACUGAGUGGAAUUGGAGCCCAUGUUUCUGACGCUGGGAGCAAAACCUAAAACUACUAAACCUAAGCCAAGUGCCCUUCCGGAAAAGUGUAAGUCACAAACCAAGCACAUAAAAGGUUUCCCUACUCCUAUAUCUUCCCAAUAAAUGGAUGAAGCAUUUA